UACGGAGGGGGCUAGCGUUGUUCGGAAUUACUGGGCGUAAAGCGCGCGUAGGCGGCUUGACAAGUUGGAGGUGAAAGCCCGGAGCUCAACUUCGGAAUUGCCUUCAAGACUGUCUCGCUCGAGGCAGGGAGAGGAGAGCGGAAUACCCAGUGUAGAGGUGAAAUUCGUAGAUAUUCGCAAGAGCACCAGUGGCGAAGGCGGCUCACUGGCCCGGUACUGACGCUGAGGUGCGAAAGCGUGGGGAGCAAACAGG
Molecule: ribosomal RNA, 253 nt
Filed under: uncultured bacterium
Lineage: Bacteria
Description: partial 16S ribosomal RNA
Rfam family: Bacterial small subunit ribosomal RNA
Source: RNAcentral